RNAcentral lists this ribosomal RNA (394 nucleotides) under uncultured bacterium. RNAcentral describes it as "partial 16S ribosomal RNA". It matches the Rfam family "Bacterial small subunit ribosomal RNA", at positions 338 to 730 of the family's 1533-position model. The record is from RNAcentral.
CCUACGGGAGGCAGCAGUGAGGAAUAUUGGUCAAUGGACGGAAGCCUGAACCAGCCAAGCCGCGUGCGGGAAGACGGUACAACGUAUCGUAAACCUCUUUUGUCAGAGGACAAAGGCGGGGACUAGUCCCCGGCUGAGAGUACCUGAAGAAAAAGCAUCGGCUAACUCCGUGCCAGCAGCCGCGGUAAUACGGAGGAUGCGAGCGUUAUCCGGAUUUAUUGGGUUUAAAGGGUGCGCAGGCGGCCGGUUAAGUCAGCGGUAAAAGCCCGGGGCUCAACCCCGGCAAGGCGUUGAAACUGGUCGGCUGGAGAGGGAGAGCAGUACGCGGAAUGUGUGGUGUAGCGGUGAAAUGCUUAGAUAUCGUGCAGAACCCCGAUUGCGAAGGCAGCGUACC